RNAcentral lists this transfer RNA (58 nucleotides) under Apaloderma vittatum (bar-tailed trogon). It matches the Rfam family "tRNA", at positions 8 to 63 of the family's 71-position model. From Rfam's summary of the family: Transfer RNA (tRNA) molecules are approximately 80 nucleotides in length. The record is from Rfam by way of RNAcentral. Lineage: Eukaryota; Metazoa; Chordata; Aves; Trogoniformes; Trogonidae.
UAGCUCAGUGGGUUGAGCGUGGUGCUGAUAACACCGAGAUCAUGGGUUUGAUCCCUGU